UGUGGGAGCGGGCUUGCUCGCGAAGGCGUCGUCCCAGUCAAUACUCAUGUGACUGACACACCGCCUUCGCGAGCAAGCCCGCUCCCACA
RNAcentral lists this unclassified non-coding RNA (89 nucleotides) under Pseudomonas jessenii. Lineage: Bacteria; Pseudomonadati; Pseudomonadota; Gammaproteobacteria; Pseudomonadales; Pseudomonadaceae. The record is from RNAcentral.